Molecule: ribosomal RNA, 434 nt
Filed under: uncultured bacterium
Lineage: Bacteria
Description: partial 16S ribosomal RNA
Rfam family: Bacterial small subunit ribosomal RNA
Source: RNAcentral
AGCGAACGCUGGCGGCAGGCCUAACACAUGCAAGUCGAACGAACCUUUCGGGGUUAGUGGCGGACGGGUGAGUAACACGUGGGAACGUGCCUUUAGGUUCGGAAUAACUCAGGGAAACUUGUGCUAAUACCGAAUGUGCCCUUCGGGGGAAAGAUUUAUCGCCUUUAGAGCGGCCCGCGUCUGAUUAGCUAGUUGGUUGAGGUAAUGGCUCCCCAAGGCGACGAUCAGUAGCUGGUCUGAGAGGAUGAUCAGCCACAUUGGGACUGCGACACGGCCCAAACUCCUACGGGAGGCAGCAGUGGGGAAUCUUGCGCAAUGGGCGAAAGCCUGACGCAGCCAUGCCGCGUGAAUGAUGAAGGUCUUAGGAUUGUAAAAUUCUUUCACCGGGGACGAUAAUGACGGUACCCGGAGAAGAAGCCCCGGCUAACUUCGUG